UUAUUGCUAUCGGGGUCCGAUUCAGCCAUGCUAGUUGUACGGCUUUAGACCCGUAGCAAAUAGCUCGGUAACACGUGGUCAAACUACCCUCUGGACCGGAAUACCCUCGGGAAACUGAGGCUAAUUCCGGAUACUGCUUUCAUGUUGGAACACAGAAAGUCGGAAACGGUCCGCCGCCGGAGGACGUGACUACGGCCGAUUAGGUAGACGGUGGGGUAACGGCCCACCGUGCCGAUAAUCGCUACCGGGUCGUGAGAGCAAGAACCCGGAGACGGUAUCUGAGACAAGAUACCGGGCCCUACGGGGCGCAGCAGGCGCGAAACCUUCACACUGCACGCCAGUGCGAUAAGGGGACCCCGAGUGCGAGGGCAUACAGUCCUCGCUUUUCGUGACCGUAAGAAGGUCUCAGAAUAAGAGCUGGGCAAGACCGGUGCCAGCCGCCGCGGUAAUACCGGCAGCUCGAGUGAUAGCCACUAUUAUUGGGCCUAAAGCGUCCGUAGCCGGCCGAACAGGUCCGUCGGGAAAUCCACCCGCUCAACGGGUGGACGUCCGGCGGAAACCAGUCGGCUUGGGGCCGGGAGACCAGAGAGGUACGUCCGGGGUAGGAGUGAAAUCCCGUAAUCCUGGACGGUCCGCCGGUAGCGAAAGCGUCUCUGGAGAACGGACCCGACGGUGAGGGACGAAAGCUUGGGUCUCGAACCGGAUUAGAUACCCGGGUAGUCCAAGCUGUAAACGAUGCUCGCUAGGUGUGGCGUUGGCUACGAGCCAGCGCUGUGCCGUAGUUA
RNAcentral lists this ribosomal RNA (785 nucleotides) under Halococcus thailandensis. Its description in RNAcentral is "bacterial SSU rRNA". It matches the Rfam family "Archaeal small subunit ribosomal RNA", at positions 24 to 809 of the family's 1478-position model. The record is from RNAcentral. Lineage: Archaea; Methanobacteriati; Methanobacteriota; Halobacteria; Halobacteriales; Halococcaceae.